Molecule: ribosomal RNA, 391 nt
Filed under: uncultured bacterium
Lineage: Bacteria
Description: bacterial SSU rRNA
Rfam family: Bacterial small subunit ribosomal RNA
Source: RNAcentral
AUUGAACGCUGGCGGCAUGCCUUACACAUGCAAGUCGAACGGCAGCGCGGGGCAACCUGGCGGCGAGUGGCGAACGGGUGAGUAAUAUAUCGGAACAUACCCUAGAGUGGGGGAUAACGUAGCGAAAGUUACGCUAAUACCGCAUACGCACUAAGGUGGAAAGUGGGGGAUCUUCGGACCUCAUGCUCAUGGAGUGGCCGAUAUCUGAUUAGCUAGUUGGUGAGGUAAAGGCUCACCAAGGCGGCGAUCAGUAGCUGGUUUGAGAGAACGACCAGCCACACUGGAACUGAGACACGGUCCAGACUCCUACGGGAGGCAGCAGUGGGGGAAUUUUGGGACAAUGGGGGGCAACCCUGAUCCAGCAAUGCCGCGUGAGUGAAGAAGGCCUCGG